RNAcentral lists this ribosomal RNA (424 nucleotides) under uncultured bacterium. Its description in RNAcentral is "bacterial SSU rRNA". It matches the Rfam family "Bacterial small subunit ribosomal RNA", at positions 358 to 773 of the family's 1533-position model. The record is from RNAcentral.
GGAAUCUUGGGCAAUGGGCGAAAGCCUGACCCAGCGAUGCCGCGUGUGUGAAGAAGGCCCUAGGGUUGUAAAGCACUUUCAGCAGCGAAGAAAAGCCGGGGGCCAAUACCCCCUUGGCUCUGACGUUAACUGCAGAAGACGUACCGGCUAACUCCGUGCCAGCAGCCGCGGUAAUACGGAGGGUACGAACGUUAAUCGGAAUUACUGGGCGUAAAGCGCGCGUAGGCGGUUCGGUUAGUGGGAUGUGAAAGCCCCGGGCUUAACCUGGGAAUUGCAUUCCAAACUGCCGGACUAGAGUAUGGUAGAGGGAGGUAGAAUUUCCUGUGUAGCGGUGAAAUGCGUAGAUAUAGGAAGGAAUACCGGUGGCGAAGGCGGCCUCCUGGACCAAUACUGACGCUGAGGUGCGAAAGCGUGGGGAGCAAAC